UGGGGAAUCUUGGACAAUGGGCGAAAGCCUGAUCCAGCGACGCCGCGUGGGGGAUGAAGCCCUUCGGGGUGUAAACCCCUGUUGCGAGGGAGGAAUAAGGCCUGGAGGAAAUGCCAGGCCGAUGACUGUACCUCGCGAGGAAGCCCCGGCUAACUACGUGCCAGCAGCCGCGGUAAUACGUAGGGGGCGAGCGUUACCCGGAUUCACUGGGCGUAAAGGGGGCGCAGGCGAUCCAGUAUGUCGGGUGUGAAAUCCCACAGCUCAACUGUGGAAUUGCGCCCGAAACUACUGGGUUUGGGGCUGGUAGAGGGAGACGGAACUGCUGGUGUAGGGGUGAAAUCCGUAGAUAUCAGCAGGAACGCCGGUGGGGAAGCCGGUCUCCUAGGCCAAGCCCGACGCUGAGGCCCGAAAGCUAGGGGAGCAAACC
RNAcentral lists this ribosomal RNA (427 nucleotides) under Thermotoga sp. enrichment culture. RNAcentral's name for it is "bacterial SSU rRNA". It matches the Rfam family "Bacterial small subunit ribosomal RNA", at positions 355 to 774 of the family's 1533-position model. The record is from RNAcentral. Lineage: Bacteria; Thermotogati; Thermotogota; Thermotogae; Thermotogales; Thermotogaceae.